RNAcentral lists this microRNA (22 nucleotides) under Rattus norvegicus (Norway rat). RNAcentral describes it as "rno-miR-374-3p". Its record names the gene rno-miR-374-3p. The record is from miRBase by way of RNAcentral. Lineage: Eukaryota; Metazoa; Chordata; Mammalia; Rodentia; Muridae.
CUUAGCACGUUGUAUUAUUAUU